UUACACCUAUUUCUGUAUAUUGGGUACGAGAUGACUUUGGAUAGGUACCAGUUGACCAAAAACAGGUAUAAGUUGACCAAAAUUGGUUUGAGUUGAUCACAGUAUGUGUUGAAAAGUUACCUAAUAGGUGUCUUCAAACAGACACAUUUAAUGAAGAUUUUUCUUGUAUAGACUUAAAUGGUAGAUCGAUCUUAUUUUUCUUUGCAUCUAUAAUGUAUAGCUCAGUGACCCAGUUAAUGUUUACGGUUUGUAACUCAGGGGUCCUGGGUUCGAUCCUCACGUGCGGUGCUGAUUUUUUUUCAUGGGAGUUUCCUCUGGCCAGACUGCAGAGCCCUAGCCUAAUAUGAGCCAACAGCAAAGAGCAGCUGCUCUUUUAAGGCAGGCAGCAGAUUUGUUGAAUGUCAACCCAUGUGACAGGAGUACACAAUACCAGCACCUGCACCAGUAACCUCUGUCAGUAGUACUAGUGCUGCAAAGGCAAUGUUUGCACCCGACAGUAAAAGAAGGAGGCAUGGACAUGCAAAUACAGGAACUGUGGCAGUGUCAGCACUGGACCAUUACACCGAGGUGUAAUCAGGUUCCUGCUUACAACUAAUGACCACCUGUUGAAGGAGCUAGACGUUACCAGGGAGAGACACCAGCACAAAGGUGAAUCAGAUUAACUGGAGCUACAAGCAGCUUAAGAAAAAGCUUUAGGGACCAGUCUAAAUGUUCUGAUAAUGAUAAUAGUUUGUUAUGUGUUUUAUUGCUAAGAAUUUUGGCUACUCGGUAUUCAAUAUCUAAAGUGGUAUUUUAUUAAGAUUUAGAAAACAAUAAGGCCAAUCUUAAUAAGAAAUAUUCUGCUGGAACAUAUUGAACUGUUUAUUUAAUCAUGCAGCAAUUUGUUUUUUGCCAUUUGAUCAUUUGGCAUGCUUAAGCUCAACAUAAUAUUAGAGAAAUUGAUUUAUUUCACAUUAUUUUACUUAUCUUGCAAUGAUUUUACAAGCAUCUUUUUCACACAUCUUGUAGAUUGGUAAGCAGAUAUGUUCUUGCUAGAUUUCGAUGGUGUAGUUUUUUAGUUAAAAUGUCUUGCCUUUCUAUUUUGUUGUGCUGACAUUUAGACAUUAUUUAUAAUUUGUUUGCAGUGAACAGCCUAGGUUUAAUAGACCUGGUACAUGUAUUCAAUCAAAGUGAGCCGCGUUCUGGAGAAAUUGGCUUUAUGCAUGUGUGUGAAAUGUCGUCCCAGAUUAGCUUAUGUGGUCCACAUAUGCUUAUCUGGAACAACACUUUCGGCCUUGACUGGAUUUGCUUUUUCAAAAUACUUUCUUUGAACGAAAAAUCUCAU
Dreissena polymorpha is the source of this 1324-nucleotide long non-coding RNA. RefSeq lists it as uncharacterized. The transcript is spliced from 3 exons. The record is from RefSeq and is a predicted model, not a curated record. NCBI's taxonomy places the organism in Eukaryota, Metazoa, Mollusca, Bivalvia, Myida, Dreissenidae.